AGCGGGGUUAACAGGCUGAUCUUGUUCCGGCGGAAAUGUAAGUUCUAGUCAUUUCGGCGAUGAGAUCAGCCUGUCGAACUUGGU
RNAcentral lists this microRNA precursor (84 nucleotides) under Oryctes borbonicus. RNAcentral's name for it is "mir-6012 microRNA precursor family". It matches the Rfam family "mir-6012 microRNA precursor family". Lineage: Eukaryota; Metazoa; Arthropoda; Insecta; Coleoptera; Scarabaeidae. The record is from Rfam by way of RNAcentral.